RNAcentral lists this non-coding RNA (182 nucleotides) under Sporomusa sphaeroides. Lineage: Bacteria; Bacillati; Bacillota; Negativicutes; Selenomonadales; Sporomusaceae. The record is from RNAcentral. RNAcentral also lists the same sequence under 1 other name.
AUUUCAUGUUUUGAGUUAGGUGCCGUAAAGGCUUAAUAGGGAAGACCGGUGCAAUACCGGCGCGGUCCCGCCACUGUAAUGGGGAGCAAGCUUAAGAUAUGCCACUGGGAUGAAGCAUCCUGGGAAGGUUUAAGCAAGCUAUGAUCCGGAGCCAGGAGAACUGCCUAGCUGACAAUCACCGU